This 92-nucleotide non-coding RNA is filed under the name Geobacter sp. Its description in RNAcentral is "SAM-I sequence". It matches the Rfam family "SAM riboswitch aptamer (S box leader)". Rfam says of the family: The SAM riboswitch is found upstream of a number of genes which code for proteins involved in methionine or cysteine biosynthesis in Gram-positive bacteria. The SAM riboswitch acts at the level of transcription termination control. RNAcentral also lists the same sequence under 1 other name. Lineage: Bacteria; Pseudomonadati; Thermodesulfobacteriota; Desulfuromonadia; Geobacterales; Geobacteraceae. The record is from RNAcentral.
AGCUUAUCAAGAGUGGUGGAGGGACAGGCCCUGCGAAACCACAGCAACCGGUCCGGAAACGGGCGCCAGGUGCUAAUUCCUAGAGAUGAGCC